Molecule: ribosomal RNA, 253 nt
Filed under: uncultured bacterium
Lineage: Bacteria
Description: partial 16S ribosomal RNA
Rfam family: Bacterial small subunit ribosomal RNA
Source: RNAcentral
UACGUAGGGAGCAAGCGUUGUCCGGAUUUACUGGGUGUAAAGGGUGCGUAGGCGGCCCUGCAAGUCAGAAGUGAAAUCCAUGGGCUUAACCCGUGAACUGCUUUUGAAACUGUAGGGCUUGAGUGAAGUGGAGGCAGGCGGAAUUCCCGGUGUAGCGGUGAAAUGCGUAGAGAUCGGGAGGAACACCAGUGGCGAAGGCGGCCUGCUGGGCUUUAACUGACGCUGAAGCACGAAAGCGUGGGUAGCAAACAGG